RNAcentral lists this ribosomal RNA (465 nucleotides) under uncultured Klebsiella sp. Its description in RNAcentral is "bacterial SSU rRNA". It matches the Rfam family "Bacterial small subunit ribosomal RNA", at positions 338 to 795 of the family's 1533-position model. Lineage: Bacteria; Pseudomonadati; Pseudomonadota; Gammaproteobacteria; Enterobacterales; Enterobacteriaceae. The record is from RNAcentral.
CCUACGGGCGGCUGCAGUGGGGAAUAUUGCACAAUGGGCGCAAGCCUGAUGCAGCCAUGCCGCGUGUGUGAAGAAGGCCUUCGGGUUGUAAAGCACUUUCAGCGGGGAGGAAGGCGGUGAGGUUAAUAACCUCAUCGAUUGACGUUACCCGCAGAAGAAGCACCGGCUAACUCCGUGCCAGCAGCCGCGGUAAUACGGAGGGUGCAAGCGUUAAUCGGAAUUACUGGGCGUAAAGCGCACGCAGGCGGUCUGUCAAGUCGGAUGUGAAAUCCCCGGGCUCAACCUGGGAACUGCAUUCGAAACUGGCAGGCUAGAGUCUUGUAGAGGGGGGUAGAAUUCCAGGUGUAGCGGUGAAAUGCAUAGAGAUCGGGAGGAAUACCGGUGGCGAAGGCGGCUCUCUGGCCUAUAACUGACGCUGAGGCGCGAAAGCGUGGGGAGCAAACAGGAUUAGAUACCCGAGUAGUC